RNAcentral lists this ribosomal RNA (428 nucleotides) under Pseudosuccinea columella. RNAcentral describes it as "partial 16S ribosomal RNA". It matches the Rfam family "Bacterial large subunit ribosomal RNA", at positions 1795 to 2621 of the family's 2925-position model. Lineage: Eukaryota; Metazoa; Mollusca; Gastropoda; Lymnaeidae. The record is from RNAcentral.
UCGCCUGUUUUACAAAAACAUAGCCCAAAGAUUUAUUUUGGGUAAAUUCUGCCCAGCGUAAUUUAUUAGCGGCCGCAGUACUUUGACUGUGCUAAGGUAGCAUAAUCAAUUGGCUUUUAAUUGUAGUCUGGAAUGAAAGGACUAAUAGGGGUUAGCUGUCUCUAUACUAUUAUUUUGAAUUUAUUUAUUAAGUGAAAAUACUUAUACAAAGAAAAAAGACGAGAAGACCCUUAGAAUUUUAAUAAAAUAUUUAAUAAUUUUUUUUUGUUGGGGCGACAUUGAAACAAUUAAACUUUCAUUAACAAUCAAGACAUUUAGGUUUGAAAGAAUAAAUUACCUUAGGGAUAACAGCAUAAUUAAUUAUUUAGUUUGUGACCUCGAUGUUGGACUAGGAACUAGAAGAUUAACCGUCUAAAUAGAUGUCGUCG